UUUAGGAAAAUACAGUUUUAUCUACUAGGAGCUUCUUCUUGAUCCACUGCCCUGCUUCCCACUUCACAGGCUCUGUCUGGAUUAGGUUCAUCUAUGCUGUAUCUACCUUGCAUUCUGAAGGAGGAAGUUUGGGAUAACUUUGGAGGAGACAUUGAUUUUCACCUCAUUGGGAAUGAUUCCUGGUACUCACAUUCAAUCAUUUUUACAUGGCUUGUGGAAAAAGGGAAUAACCCUAAGUGGAGACACAUGAGAAUGCACGACACCUUAUCAUGGAUUGGUUGGCUUAUCAGGUAAAAGCAGCAGUGGUCAGGAGAAGUGAGUACACGUUUCAUUUCGGUAAAAUACUGAGGGUUUCCUCUGUGUAAAGUUAAUACUAAGUGUAGGUGAAAUCGGAUGGGUCUUUAACAGCAGACGUUAGAAGAUAUUUAGAAGCAUGAAACAAUGACAAGAGCAAGAUUUUUAUUUAUAUAAAAGAUUUCAAAUGGGCAUAGAAGGUGUCAGUUACAAUGAAAUUCAUUCAUUCACAAGUAUCUGCUGGUUUCUAGGUCUUAGGACAUACGUGCUGGAAAUGGUCAUCUGA
Long non-coding RNA from Fukomys damarensis (Damara mole-rat), 580 nucleotides. RefSeq lists it as uncharacterized. The record is from RefSeq and is a predicted model, not a curated record. The transcript is spliced from 3 exons. Lineage: Eukaryota; Metazoa; Chordata; Mammalia; Rodentia; Bathyergidae.